UCGAGGGGUAGUUACUUUCGGGUAAUGAGACCGGCGCACGGGUGCGUAACGCGUAUGCAAUCUACCUUUUACAGGGGAAUAGCCCAGAGAAAUUUGGAUUAAUGCCCCAUAGUAUGUAUGAAUCGCAUGGUUUAUAUAUUAAAGUUCCAACGGUAAAAGAUGAGCAUGCGUCCCAUUAGUUAGUUGGUAAGGUAACGGCUUACCAAGACGAUGAUGGGUAGGGGUCCUGAGAGGGAGAUCCCCCACACUGGUACUGAGACACGGACCAGACUCCUACGGGAGGCAGCAGUGAGGAAUAUUGGACAAUGGGCGCAAGCCUGAUCCAGCCAUGCCGCGUGCAGGAAGAAGCAUCUAUGGUGUGUAAACUGCUUUUGUACGGGAAGAAACACUCCCUCGUGAGGGAGCUUGACGGUACCGUAAGAAUAAGGAUCGGCUAACUCCGUGCCAGCAGCCGCGGUAAUACGGAGGAUCCAAGCGUUAUCCGGAAUCAUUGGGUUUAAAGGGUCCGUAGGCGGUUUGAUAAGUCAGUGGUGAAAGCCCAUCGCUCAACGAUGGAACGGCCAUUGAUACUGUCAGACUUGAAUUACAAGGAAGUAACUAGAAUAUGUAGUGUAGCGGUGAAAUGCUUAGAUAUUACAUGGAAUACCAAUUGCGAAGGCAGGUUACUACUUGUGGAUUGACGCUGAUGGACGAAAGCGUGGGGAGCGAACAGGAUUAGAUACCCUGGUAGUCCACGCCGUAAACGAUGGAUACUAGCUGUUGGGAGCAAUCUCAGUGGCUAAGCGAAAGUGAUAAGUAUCCCACCUGGGGAGUACGUUCGCA
RNAcentral lists this ribosomal RNA (822 nucleotides) under uncultured Bacteroidota bacterium. RNAcentral describes it as "bacterial SSU rRNA". It matches the Rfam family "Bacterial small subunit ribosomal RNA", at positions 62 to 890 of the family's 1533-position model. The record is from RNAcentral. Lineage: Bacteria; Pseudomonadati; Bacteroidota.